ACGGGUGAGUAACGCGUAGGAAUCUGCCUUGAAGAUGGGGAUAACCCGAGGAAACUCGGGCUAAUACCGAAUAAUCUCUACGGAGGAAAGCUAGGUAGCAAUAUCUGGCGCUUUAAGAGGAGCCUGCGUCCGAUUAGCUAGUUGGUAGGGUAAAAGCCUACCAAGGCGAUGAUCGGUAGCUGGUCUGAGAGGAUGAUCAGCCACACUGGGACUGAGACACGGCCCAGACUCCUACGGGAGGCAGCAGUGGGGAAUAUUGGACAAUGGGGGCAACCCUGAUCCAGCAAUGCCGCGUGUGUGAAGAAGGCCUUCGGGUUGUAAAGCACUUUAGGUUGGGAAGAAGGUAUGUUGUUUAAGAGAUGAUAUAUUUGACGGUACCAACAGAAUAAGCACCGGCUAACUCUGUGCCAGCAGCCGCGGUAAUACAGAGGGUGCAAGCGUUAAUCGGAGUUACUGGGCGUAAAGGGCGCGUAGGCGGUAUGAUAAGUGAGAUGUGAAAUCCCUGGGCUUAACCUAGGAACUGCAUCUUAUACUGUGAUACUGGAGUACAGUAGAGGGCAGUGGAAUUUCCGGUGU
RNAcentral lists this ribosomal RNA (576 nucleotides) under uncultured Gammaproteobacteria bacterium. Its description in RNAcentral is "bacterial SSU rRNA". It matches the Rfam family "Bacterial small subunit ribosomal RNA", at positions 102 to 676 of the family's 1533-position model. Lineage: Bacteria; Pseudomonadati; Pseudomonadota; Gammaproteobacteria. The record is from RNAcentral.